GAGGGUAUAGCUCAGUGGUAGAUUGCAUGUUCAGCAUGCACAAAAUCCUGGGUUCAAUCCCCAGUACCUCCA
This 72-nucleotide transfer RNA is filed under the name Camelus ferus (Wild Bactrian camel). It matches the Rfam family "tRNA". From Rfam's summary of the family: Transfer RNA (tRNA) molecules are approximately 80 nucleotides in length. Their secondary structure includes four short double-helical elements and three loops (D, anti-codon, and T loops). Further hydrogen bonds mediate the characteristic L-shaped molecular structure. tRNAs have two regions of fundamental functional importance: the anti-codon, which is responsible for specific mRNA codon recognition, and the 3' end, to which the tRNAs corresponding amino acid is attached (by aminoacyl-tRNA synthetases). tRNAs cope with the degeneracy of the genetic code in two manners: having more than one tRNA (with a specific anti-codon) for a particular amino acid; and 'wobble' base-pairing, i.e. permitting non-standard base-pairing at the 3rd anti-codon position. Lineage: Eukaryota; Metazoa; Chordata; Mammalia; Artiodactyla; Camelidae. The record is from Rfam by way of RNAcentral.